GUUAAUUGGUCUGUUUCAGGCAUAAUUUGGGCCUUUGAGACCAUGUCCCUUACCCCCUGCCAAAGUGUCAAGACUCACAUCUUUAAUUCAACAAUCUUUGUAUUAAUUACCUCUGGAUAAGUACCAGUCCUCAGAAGACCACCAAACUACCCUCUACACAACCUAUAGCAACUGGCUGUGAAGGCAUGUGCAGGAAGAAGAAAAUGAGGAGAAAGUCACACUGGUGGCCAUGGAAAAAUGGAUGAAUACAGAAAUCUGCAUGCUACCAUAUUCAGCCAACCCAAUUGUCAUUGCUCACACUUCCUCACAGUCUUACUGUAAUGGAUGGACCAAGCUUAACCAGAGCAUCAGUUCCUACUUAGAGAGCUGUCUAUAGUCUCUUGAAGACCAGAUUCUGCAAAUCUAAGGGCCAAAUCCUCAAAUUUGGGAAAAAAGCCAGGGCCUGGAAACAAGAUGGUAAUUUAUAUAAAAAUAGGUUAAAAUAAUCUAUACUUGCAAGGGGUUGUUUCAAUGACAUUGUACAACAUAGCCAAAAGUAUUUUAUGCCAGUGCUUGCAAGGGGCCUUAUUGACUAUGGAAUGAAGGAAGAUGGUAAAAUCUGGCGAUGACCAGAAAGGAAAGGAAUGAAAGUGAAGACAAGCCAAGGCAUGUGGGAUUGUACUGCAAGAAAAGCACUGAAAUUCAUGCAUAGAAUCCAGUCUGACUUAAUGCUGAAAAUGUCAUUAAUUCACAGUGGUUUUCACGUGCAAGAUGCUCUGUGUUGUUUGAAGCUGGUCUGAUUCCUUUGGAAGACAUAGAGAUCCUUAUUGAUAGCUGGGGAAGGACAAUAAGAAACUGUAAGGACCUAUGCACUCAGUUUUGUGUCCCUUUUACACCAUCCAGCUACAACAGGCCUGCUCUAUGCUUCUGUAGUUUCUGUUGCUUCCUACUGAGCUAUUCCUGUGUCUUCUGUGAACAUUCAUGGCCACCAUCCCUUGCCUUCCAAAAAGAAGGAAAAACCUGCAAACACCCCUCUUCUAAGAGCAUAAUCCUUGAUAUUUUGGCCACUUCGAAGGGGAUAAUUUUCUGAGUAAAGUUGUCCCCUAUGUCGAUCUGUCCAUGGGGAAUAUAUGGCCCAGUUUAUGAGACAUAGUGUCACUGCCUAUUUAACUUUAUCAACCAUAACUGAGAACACCUGUUUUCUCUGAGGUAUAUUUUUUUCUAAUGUACAUCUUAGUCACUCUCAUUAUUUGCUGCUUAUUUUUUAAAUUUCAAAUUUAAUCACUGCCUAAACCAACAAAGUAUCUUUCCUCCAAGAAAAGAAUUAAAAAUAUGUUUCAUUAUCCUGUUUUUUUAAAUUAUUGUAUCAUGUUUUUGACAGCUAAAUAAAUGGAUUUUAUUAAACAGAG
This is a long non-coding RNA of Gavialis gangeticus (Gharial), 1388 nucleotides long. RefSeq lists it as uncharacterized. Lineage: Eukaryota; Metazoa; Chordata; Crocodylia; Gavialidae. The transcript has 4 exons. The record is from RefSeq and is a predicted model, not a curated record.